RNAcentral lists this ribosomal RNA (674 nucleotides) under Staphylococcus aureus. RNAcentral's name for it is "partial 23S ribosomal RNA". It matches the Rfam family "Bacterial large subunit ribosomal RNA", at positions 1603 to 2278 of the family's 2925-position model. Lineage: Bacteria; Bacillati; Bacillota; Bacilli; Caryophanales; Staphylococcaceae. The record is from RNAcentral.
CACUGCCGAGAAAAGCCUCUAGAUAGAAAAUAGGUGCCCGUACCGCAAACCGACACAGGUAGUCAAGAUGAGAAUUCUAAGGUGAGCGAGCGAACUCUCGUUAAGGAACUCGGCAAAAUGACCCCGUAACUUCGGGAGAAGGGGUGCUCUUUAGGGUUAACGCCCAGAAGAGCCGCAGUGAAUAGGCCCAAGCGACUGUUUAUCAAAAACACAGGUCUCUGCUAAACCGUAAGGUGAUGUAUAGGGGCUGACGCCUGCCCGGUGCUGGAAGGUUAAGAGGAGUGGUUAGCUUCUGCGAAGCUACGAAUCGAAGCCCCAGUAAACGGCGGCCGUAACUAUAACGGUCCUAAGGUAGCGAAAUUCCUUGUCGGGUAAGUUCCGACCCGCACGAAAGGCGUAACGAUUUGGGCACUGUCUCAACGAGAGACUCGGUGAAAUCAUAGUACCUGUGAAGAUGCAGGUUACCCGCGACAGGACGGAAAGACCCCGUGGAGCUUUACUGUAGCCUGAUAUUGAAAUUCGGCACAGCUUGUACAGGAUAGGUAGGAGCCUUUGAAACGUGAGCGCUAGCUUACGUGGAGGCGCUGGUGGGAUACUACCCUAGCUGUGUUGGCUUUCUAACCCGCACCACUUAUCGUGGUGGGAGACAGUGUCAGGCGGGCAGUUUGACUGGG